This 520-nucleotide unclassified non-coding RNA is filed under the name uncultured Glomus. RNAcentral's name for it is "SSU rRNA". It matches the Rfam family "Eukaryotic small subunit ribosomal RNA", at positions 569 to 1091 of the family's 1831-position model. Lineage: Eukaryota; Fungi; Glomeromycota; Glomeromycetes; Glomerales; Glomeraceae. The record is from RNAcentral.
AGCAGCCGCGGUAAUUCCAGCUCCAAUAGCGUAUAUUAAAGUUGCUGCAGUUAAAAAGCUCGUAGUUGAAUUUCGGGAUCAAUAUGUUGGUCGUGCCUCGGUACGUACUAGCUUAUUGGUUUCUCCCUUCUGACGAACCAUGAUGUCAUUUAUUUGGUGUUAUGGGAAAUCAGGACUGUUACUUUGAAAAAAAUUAGAGUGUUUAAAGCAGGCUCGCGCUUGAAUACAUUAGCAUGGAAUAAUGAAAUAGGACGUUUGAUUCUAUUUUGUUGGUUUCUAGGAUCGACGUAAUGAUUAAUAGGGAUAGUUGGGGGCAUUAGUAUUCAAUUGUCAGAGGUGAAAUUCUUGGAUUUAUUGAAGACUAACUACUGCGAAAGCAUUUGCCAAGGAUGUUUUCAUUAAUCAAGAACGAAAGUUAGGGGAUCGAAGACGAUCAGAUACCGUCGUAGUCUUAACCAUAAACUAUGCCGACUAGGGAUCGGAUGAUGUUAAUUUUUUAAUGACUCAUUCGGCGCCUUAC